GCAGUCGUGGCCAGUGGUUAAGGCGAUGGAUUAGGAAAUCCAUUGGGAUCUUCCCCGCGUAGGUUCGAAUCCUCCCGACUGCG
Molecule: transfer RNA, 83 nt
Filed under: Caerostris extrusa
Lineage: Eukaryota; Metazoa; Arthropoda; Arachnida; Araneae; Araneidae
Description: tRNA-Pro
Rfam family: tRNA
About the family: Transfer RNA (tRNA) molecules are approximately 80 nucleotides in length. Their secondary structure includes four short double-helical elements and three loops (D, anti-codon, and T loops).
Source: RNAcentral